RNAcentral lists this ribosomal RNA (559 nucleotides) under uncultured Ideonella sp. Its description in RNAcentral is "bacterial SSU rRNA". It matches the Rfam family "Bacterial small subunit ribosomal RNA", at positions 8 to 590 of the family's 1533-position model. The record is from RNAcentral. Lineage: Bacteria; Pseudomonadati; Pseudomonadota; Betaproteobacteria; Burkholderiales; Sphaerotilaceae.
AGAGUUUGAUCAUGGCUCAGAUUGAACGCUGGCGGCAUGCCUUACACAUGCAAGUCGAACGGUAACGCGGGGCAACCUGGCGACGAGUGGCGAACGGGUGAGUAAUGCAUCGGAACGUGCCCAGUAGUGGGGGAUAGCCCGGCGAAAGCCGGAUUAAUACCGCAUACGACCUACGGGUGAAAGGGGGGGAUCGCAAGACCUCUCGCUAUUGGAGCGGCCGGUGUCAGAUUAGGUAGUUGGUGGGGUAAAGGCCUACCAAGCCGACGAUCUGUAGCUGGUCUGAGAGGACGACCAGCCACACUGGGACUGAGACACGGCCCAGACUCCUACGGGAGGCAGCAGUGGGGAAUUUUGCGCAAUGGGGGAAACCCUGACGCAGCAACGCCGCGUGGAGGAUGAAGUCCUUCGGGACGUAAACUCCUUUCGACCGGGACGAUAAUGACGGUACCGGAAGAAGAAGCCCCGGCUAACUUCGUGCCAGCAGCCGCGGUAAUACGAGGGGGCGAGCGUUGUUCGGAAUUAUUGGGCGUAAAGGGUGCGUAGGCGGUUUGGUAAGUCU